This is a long non-coding RNA of Mastomys coucha (southern multimammate mouse), 1111 nucleotides long. RefSeq lists it as uncharacterized. NCBI's taxonomy places the organism in Eukaryota, Metazoa, Chordata, Mammalia, Rodentia, Muridae. The record is from RefSeq and is a predicted model, not a curated record. The transcript has 2 exons.
UGGCCACUACCUCCAACUGUCACAAGAGGGAGAAAGCGACAGUUGAUCAUGCUGGAGCAGCAGAACCCAAAACGGAUAAGGAAGUUUGCAAUACCUUCACAUUUAUGGCUCAGUAUGUGUUUCUUGGGACAGCACUUGUCUGGUCAGAUGAAUGUCAUCUUCCUUGUGUCAUCUCUUUGGAGAGCAGCCACCCAUGGCAGCAACAUGACUUAGGGCAUCGGGAACAGAAGGGAAGAGUCAGCUGAUUCUGUUGUCCUUUACAUGAGAACCCUCUCCUUCACUGCAGCAAUCUAACACAGUGAAGAGGACAUUUUGUGGUCUGCGAAAAUCCUAGGCCUCAUAGCAGCAUCCCUCAAGUUCCUGUUGACAGGAAGAUCCACCGCUCCCGCUCUCAGCCCCUUCUAAGCUCUUCAUCAGUGAGACUUGCCAGCCUCUUGUGCAUUGAGAAUUGUCCCUGCCAGCUCUGCCUUUCACAGAUGUAGCUUUCGCAAAGAACCUGUGACCAUUCUCAGGGAACCAUGGAAAAAAGGCGGCAUCGGGCCAGGAAUUUUUUUUCCCUCCCAAAUGUGGUAUUUACCGAGGCAGCUGCAACGCUUCCUCUCCCCUGAGCAGGCUGCACACUCACUGCCUCUGUUCUUCAAACUGGGAAGAGGCCUCUCCCAGGGGUAAUCUGCAUUUUAGGUGGAUUUCUCCAAAUUCCCAAAGCCUACAGCCUACAGUAUGAGUUACUAAUGAAGUCAGCCUACAGCCUAUAGUAUGAGUUACUAAUGAAGUCACUUUAUAUCCAGUGGCACUGAGCUACAAUGAUUUUACUCCUUAAUCUUGCUCCCUAACCAUGCCAGGCAUGGCUAAGAGUAGAAUCUGUCUCCAAAGGAACUGCUUCAGAUGGGGUAGGGUUGAAUUCUGAGGACCUGAGGAGCUGGGGCAGAAGAAGAAGUGCCUGAGAUGCUGACGGUGAUUGACAGUUAUGAAGCCCUUUUGGCCCCACCCUAAGUCCCCACCAUCUUCCUAACAGAUCUCAAAGGACGAUUGUUAACUUGCAUUCUUCAGAAGCAUACAGUGAGGCAAGGCGGAGCUACACUGGUCACUAAAAGUCCCAAGCUAAAACACA